RNAcentral lists this long non-coding RNA (387 nucleotides) under Mytilus galloprovincialis (Mediterranean mussel). The record is from RNAcentral. Lineage: Eukaryota; Metazoa; Mollusca; Bivalvia; Mytilida; Mytilidae.
GUUCAUUUGUAAAUGUUUGAAAAAGUAACAUGUCAACUUAAAUGAUGUUUCAAAUUCAAAUAAAUCAUUUAUUACCACAGAUCUAAAAUGCAGAAUUUCAGAAUUCGUCAAUUCUGAAUUCUUUCACCAUUAAGGUUGAUAUAAAAAAAUAAGCCAUUACUAUGUAAUUGAGGGGCGUGCAAAAGAAACAAUUAAUUUUAAUACAUAUUGAUACAGAUCAUCUCUUAAUUCAAAAUACUACAACUACAGGAUUGUUUGACAACCUUGAAUAUAAAUAAAGAUAAUGUAAUCAGCAUAAAAUUCCACCUUGAUUACAUAUACACCAAACAUAUUCUGAUAAAUAAAAAAAUAUUAAAGGGACACAACUCCUGAAAAUAACAUAUAUUU